AAAUAAGAAGUAAUAAAUUACAUAUUAAUUUCGACUUAAUAAUAGAUAUUAUCAAUAUCCUUAUUUA
This 67-nucleotide transfer RNA is filed under the name Paracolopha morrisoni. RNAcentral's name for it is "tRNA-Arg". Lineage: Eukaryota; Metazoa; Arthropoda; Insecta; Hemiptera; Aphididae. The record is from RNAcentral.